UUUUUAUUCUAUUCUAUUCACAUCAUGUUUCUUUUUAUUUUAUUGUAUUUAUUCUAUUUUAUUCUGUUUUAUAUUAUAUUAUAUUAUAUUAUAUUAUAUUUUAUUAUAUUAUUUUCUAUUUUCUUUUCUAUAUUUUAUAAUCUACAUUUUAUUGACGUUUAUUGCUAGUUUACAUUCAUUAUAUUUUAAUCACAUCAUAUUUCUCGAUAGUUAAUUAUAUAUUUAGGUUCUAUUUCCCAUUUUUUUCAGGUCAUGUUCAUCAACAGUCAGAUGCAGAUGAAUGAUGGGUCAGAUGGUCUGAAGGCCGUACCCAUGCUGGCCAGAAGAGCAGCGAUGGCCUGAACAUCAGCUCCAGCGAAGAUGUCCGACAGAGAGUUGACCACCGGCAGACACAGCGUGUGCACACGGAUCCUCCGCUCUCCUGCAACAGCACAGAAGAGCACAGUCAGCGUCACAUGAUCAGUCGAGCGUCACAUGACACGUCAUCGUCACAUGAGCAUUCGAGCGUCACAUGACACGUCUGUGUCACAUGAUUAGUCGAGCGUCACAUGACACGUCACAUGAUCAUCUGCACGUCACAUGACACAUCACAUGAUCAGUGGAGCGUCACAUGACACGUCACAUGAUCAGUCGAGCGUCACAUGAUCAGUCGAGCGUCGCGCACCUUUGCUGGCGGUGUAGAGCAGCGCGGCCUGGAAGGACACGGUCUGCAGGUCCAGCAGGUUCUCCUCGAUGCUCAUCUGCACGGCGAAGCCGGCGUCGGGGUUCACGUUGGGCAGAGACAGCAGGUCGGUGGAGCGCACGAAGAAGUUCCCGUGGAAGGUGUGUAUGGACAGACCUGCAGACGACAGAAGAACACGUCAGUGUUCAGCAGGGCUGGACUCAGACCGACGCCUCACUCCACACACCUUUAGUGCAGCGGAUCCUCAUCACGGCCUCGAAGCCGAUCUUGCGCGUCAGGUAUCUCUUCAGAUCCUUCUGGAGGCGCUCCGUCUGAGGCGGGUUGUGCUGCUUGUGGUAUGAAGGGUAGAAAUAGACGCUUCCGGCCGAGUAUCUGGAUAUACAGCCUUCAGGAGGAGACGAAGGAUCGAUCGUUAGAGUUUAUACACACACAAACAUCACUGGAUCAAUCAUGUUUUAGAGUCUCAAAUCUGAUCAUCAGGAUCUUUUGAGGAGCGUUUGUUUCCAGAAGCUUUACUUUCACUGUUCCUCAGCGGAGGAAUGAUCUUCACAAGCCUCCAGAACAUCUCACAUCUUCUGAGGAGCCUUUAUUUCUUCAUCUCUCAAUCACUGCAUUAUAUGUUUGGAUCAUUUACAUCUCAAUCACUGAGACACAUUACUGCAGAUAUAGAGCUCUACUGUACUGAUUUACAUCACAAGCAGCAGAAUCUCAUCAUAUAAAU
Molecule: long non-coding RNA, 1403 nt
Organism: Cyprinus carpio carpio
Lineage: Eukaryota; Metazoa; Chordata; Actinopteri; Cypriniformes; Cyprinidae
Source: Ensembl